This 253-nucleotide ribosomal RNA is filed under the name uncultured bacterium. RNAcentral's name for it is "partial 16S ribosomal RNA". It matches the Rfam family "Bacterial small subunit ribosomal RNA", at positions 524 to 776 of the family's 1533-position model. The record is from RNAcentral.
UACGGAGGGGGCUAGCGUUGUUCGGAAUUACUGGGCGUAAAGCGCACGUAGGCGGCUUUGCAAGUUAGAGGUGAAAGCCCGGGGCUCAACUCCGGAAUUGCCUUUAAAACUGCAUCGCUAGAAUUGUGGAGAGGUAAGUGGAAUUCCGAGUGUAGAGGUGAAAUUCGUAGAUAUUCGGAAGAACACCAGUGGCGAAGGCGGCCUGCUGGGCAGUAGCUGACGCUGAUGCGCGACAGCGUGGGGAGCAAACAGG